This 715-nucleotide long non-coding RNA is filed under the name Pan troglodytes (chimpanzee). RNAcentral describes it as "long non-coding RNA NONPTRT007126". Lineage: Eukaryota; Metazoa; Chordata; Mammalia; Primates; Hominidae. The record is from RNAcentral.
GGGACAGGUCACCAGCCUCCUGUAUCUACCCCCACCUUUCUUGCUUGCUGAUGUGAAAAACAAGACCCAGAGAGGGGAAAUCAUUUGAAUCCUGUCCUGGUAUUGCUUUGUGUUCCUGGAUUUGGAGAAUUUCUGGGAACACAGGAAAAGGAAAGGCUCAGCUCCAGAAGCAGACCCAGAAUGGCAUCCUUCUCUGAGACCCAGACCCCAGCCCCUCUUCAUGGAAGACCAGCACAAAGGAGGAAGUAGGUUAGGGAAUGGUAAGGCUCCAUGUGAUGGGACUAAUGUGGAGAGGCCUGGGGCCUUUCCCUGAGGACUGGAUGGCUGGAGUUUGGGAGCCUGAGUUGACAGAGGAGGCUAAGCCCGGGCAGCUACUUUGUUCCAGAAAUCUAAGGUCCCUGGAGGGAGGCUCUGCUUUGGGAGGGGGAAGGGAGCUAACAUUGCAGAGCACCAACUGUGAACCAGGUACAAUGGCAGAGCCUUUCCAUACCUGUACUCACAACUAGCGGGUGAGGAGUCAAGGCAAAUAGGUGUCUCAUAGCUCCCCAUAUCUCGGCAGUCGACCACCUCCUCCUUUGAUUCUCUGAUGUCACUGCCAGUUCUCCUCCUAUUGCUCUGACCUGUCUUUCUCUGUGUCCUUUGCAAACUCAUUCUCAACUCCUUAGACUCAGUCAAGUCCCCCAGUUACACACUUCCAUGGUACUAUAUAUCGUUC